CCAAUAGCGUAUAUUAAAGUUGCUGCAGUUAAAAAGCUCGUAGUUGAAUUUUGGGACUAAUAUGUCGGUCGUGCCUCGGUACGUACUGGUAUUUUUGGUUUCUCCCUUCUGACGAACCUUGAUGUCAUUAAUUUGGUGUCUUGGGAAAUCAGGACUGUUACUUUGAAAAAAUUAGAGUGUUUAAAGCAGGCUCACGCUUGAAUACAUUAGCAUGGAAUAAUGAAAUAGGACGUUUGAUUCUAUUUUGUUGGUUUCUAGGAUCGACGUAAUGAUUAAUAGGGAUAGUUGGGGGCAUUAGUAUUCAAUUGUCAGAGGUGAAAUUCUUGGAUUUAUUGAAGACUAACUACUGCGAAAGCAUUUGCCAAGGAUGUUUUCAUUAAUCAAGAACGAAAGUUAGGGGAUCGAAGACGAUCAGAUACCGUCGUAGUCUUAACCAUAAACUAUGCCGACUAGGGAUCGGAUGAUGUUAAUUUUUUAAUGACUCAUUCGGCGCCUUACG
Molecule: unclassified non-coding RNA, 499 nt
Filed under: uncultured Glomus
Lineage: Eukaryota; Fungi; Glomeromycota; Glomeromycetes; Glomerales; Glomeraceae
Description: SSU rRNA
Rfam family: Eukaryotic small subunit ribosomal RNA
Source: RNAcentral